CCCUCAAACCCUAGCACCUAGGGUUUUGAAGGGGGUGCCCUAUCAUGUGGGCGCCUCCUUUAUAUGGCCGCCCAAGCUCCCAUCUUCCAGGUCUCCAUGCCUCCUCUUCUCUACUGGUUGGGGGCUUGAAGAAGGAUAUUUUUAGAUCUAGAAUGGAGGGUUUUAGAUCUGGUAUCGAUAGGGUUCAAGGAGAGGAAGAACAAAGUGAAGAUGGGCAAGGGCUGCAGAUUUACAGAAGGCUGCAGGAUCUCUCUCUCU
This 258-nucleotide long non-coding RNA is filed under the name Elaeis guineensis (African oil palm). RNAcentral describes it as "long non-coding RNA (EGUI_LNC038653)". The record is from RNAcentral. Lineage: Eukaryota; Viridiplantae; Streptophyta; Magnoliopsida; Arecales; Arecaceae.